Molecule: ribosomal RNA, 433 nt
Filed under: uncultured bacterium
Lineage: Bacteria
Description: partial 16S ribosomal RNA
Rfam family: Bacterial small subunit ribosomal RNA
Source: RNAcentral
AACGAACGCUGGCGGCAUGCCUAACACAUGCAAGUCGAACGAGACCUUCGGGUCUAGUGGCGCACGGGUGCGUAACGCGUGGGAACCUGCCCUUAGGUUCGGAAUAACUCCCCGAAAGGGGUGCUAAUACCGGAUAAUGUCUUCGGACCAAAGAUUUAUCGCCUUUGGAUGGGCCCGCGUUGGAUUAGCUAGUUGGUAGGGUAAAAGCCUACCAAGGCGACGAUCCAUAGCUGGUCUGAGAGGAUGAUCAGCCACACUGGGACUGAGACACGGCCCAGACUCCUACGGGAGGGAGCAGUGGGGAAUAUUGGACAAUGGGGGAAAGCCUGAUCCAGCAAUGCCGCGUGAGUGAUGAAGGCCGUAGGGUUGUAAAGCUCUUUUAGCCGGGAUGAUAAUGACAGUACCGGGAGAAUAAGCUCCGGCUAACUCCGUG